This 200-nucleotide ribosomal RNA is filed under the name uncultured bacterium. RNAcentral's name for it is "partial 16S ribosomal RNA". It matches the Rfam family "Bacterial small subunit ribosomal RNA", at positions 8 to 202 of the family's 1533-position model. The record is from RNAcentral.
AGAGUUUGAUCCUGGCUCAGGACGAACGCUGGCGGCGUGCCUAAUACAUGCAAGUCGAGCGAAUCUGUUAAAAGCUUGCUUUUGACAGAUUAGCGGCGGACGGGUGAGUAACACGUGGGUAACCUGCCUGUAAGACUGGGAUAACUCCGGGAAACCGGGGCUAAUACCGGAUAACUUCUUCCUCCGCAUGGAGGAAUAUU